This 389-nucleotide ribosomal RNA is filed under the name Architectonicidae sp. H4. RNAcentral describes it as "partial 16S ribosomal RNA". The record is from RNAcentral. Lineage: Eukaryota; Metazoa; Mollusca; Gastropoda; Architectonicidae.
CGCUUGGUGAUUUUAUGCUAAGUCAAUUCUGCUCGGUGAAGGUAUUUUAACAGCAGCGGUAUUUUGACCGUUCAAAGGUAGCAUAAUAAGUUUAGUAAUUGUAAACCUGUCAAUGGGACCAUGGGUUUAUUUAAAUAAAAACUUAAUUAUUAUAGAAAUUAAAAAAAAAGUAAAAACUCUUUUUUUUAUCUAAAAGACGAUAAGACCCUAGAAUUUUUUAUUUUAAUUUAGGUGGGGAAUCUUUGAUUAUUAACAAUCAAUAGUCAAAAUACUCUAGGGAUAACAGCUUUAUUUUAAAGGUUCUUUAAAGUUUGAGACCUCGAUGUUGAAUUAAGAAUAUUGGCUUUUCAAAAGAAAUCUAAUUUAGGUCUGUUCGACCUUAACCUCUU